RNAcentral lists this non-coding RNA (21 nucleotides) under Caenorhabditis elegans. Lineage: Eukaryota; Metazoa; Nematoda; Chromadorea; Rhabditida; Rhabditidae. The record is from RNAcentral.
UUUUUUGUAAGAAGUUUGAAC